RNAcentral lists this microRNA precursor (101 nucleotides) under Daphnia pulex (common water flea). RNAcentral's name for it is "bantam stem-loop (dpu-bantam)". Its record names the gene dpu-bantam. The stretch from base 7 to 90 matches the Rfam family "bantam microRNA precursor family". The record is from miRBase by way of RNAcentral. Lineage: Eukaryota; Metazoa; Arthropoda; Branchiopoda; Diplostraca; Daphniidae.
UCGGCUUUUAAACCUCGAGACUAGUUUUCUCAGUGAUCUGCCAGAUAUUAUUUGAAUUUCUGAGAUCAUUGUGAAAGCUGAUUUUGUGGAUAGCCUCGACU